GAUGAACGCUAGCGGGAGGCUUAACACAUGCAAGUCGAGGGGCAGCAUAGGGUAGCAAUACUCUGAUGGCGACCGGCAAACGGGUGAGUAACGCGUAUGCAACCUACCCUGUACAGGGGGAUAACCCGGAGAAAUUCGGACUAAUAUCCCGUAAUAAUAUCCGGAGGCAUCUUUGGAUAUUUAAAGUUCCGACGGUACGGGAUGGGCAUGCGUAACAUUAACUGGUUGGUAAGGUAACGGCUUACCAAGGCUAUGAUGUUUAGGGGUCCUGAGAGGGUGGUCCCCCACACUGGUACUGAGACACGGACCAGACUCCUACGGGAGGCAGCAGUGAGGAAUAUUGGUCAAUGGGCGCAAGCCUGAACCAGCCAUCCCGCGUGCAGGAAAAGCGGCCCUAUGGGUUGUAAACUGCUUUUCCAGGGAGAGAAACUUACGCACGUGUUGCGUGACUGACGGUACCCUGGGAAUAAGCAUCGGCUAACUCCGUG
This 488-nucleotide ribosomal RNA is filed under the name uncultured bacterium. Its description in RNAcentral is "bacterial SSU rRNA". It matches the Rfam family "Bacterial small subunit ribosomal RNA", at positions 28 to 507 of the family's 1533-position model. The record is from RNAcentral.